This 465-nucleotide ribosomal RNA is filed under the name uncultured bacterium. RNAcentral describes it as "partial 16S ribosomal RNA". It matches the Rfam family "Bacterial small subunit ribosomal RNA", at positions 338 to 795 of the family's 1533-position model. The record is from RNAcentral.
CCUACGGGAGGCAGCAGUAGGGAAUCUUCCACAAUGGGCGCAAGCCUGAUGGAGCAACACAGCGUGAGUGAAGAAGGGUUUCGGCUCGUAAAGCUCUGUUGUUGGAGAAGAACGUGCGUGAGAGUAACUGUUCACGCAGUGACGGUAUCAAACCAGAAAGUCACGGCUAACUACGUGCCAGCAGCCGCGGUAAUACGUAGGUGGCAAGCGUUAUCCGGAUUUAUUGGGCGUAAAGGGAGCGUAGGUGGUUGGUUAGGUCUGAUGUGAAAGUCUGCGGCUUAACCGAAGAAGUGCAGCUGAAACCGGGCGUCUUGAGUACAGUAGAGGACAGUGGAACUCCAUGUGUAGCGGUGGAAUGCUUAGAUAUAUGGAAGAACUCCAGUGGCGAAGGCAGCUGUCUGGUCUGCAACUGACGCUGAGGCUCGAAAGUGUGGGUAGCGAACAGGAUUAGAUACCCGGGUAGUC